Molecule: ribosomal RNA, 487 nt
Filed under: uncultured bacterium
Lineage: Bacteria
Description: bacterial SSU rRNA
Rfam family: Bacterial small subunit ribosomal RNA
Source: RNAcentral
AUUGAACGCUGGCGGCAGGCCUAACAUAUGCAAGUCGAGCGGUAGAGAGGUGCUUGCAUCUCUUGAGAGCGGCGGACGGGUGAGUAAUGCCUAGGAAUCUGCCUAGUGGUGGGGGAUAACCCGGAGAAAUUCGGACUAAUACCGCAUAAUACCACGAAUUCGCAUGAAUUUGUGUGUUAAACAUUUAUGGCUUACAGAUGAGCAUGCGUAUGAUUAGAUAGUUGGUAGGUAACGGCCUACCAAGUCUGCGAUCAUUAGGGGUUCUGAGAGGAAGGUCCCCCACACUGGUACUGAGACACGGACCAGACUCCUACGGGAGGCAGCAGUGAGGAAUAUUGGUCAAUGGGCGAGAGCCUGAACCAGCCAAGUCGCGUGAAGGAAGAAGGUUCUAUGGAUUGUAAACUUCUUUUGUAAGGGAAUAAAGUACGGCACGUGUGCUUGUUUGUAUGUACCUUACGAAUAAGGAUCGGCUAACUCCGUGCCAGCA